AUUGAACGCUGGCGGAAUGCUUUACACAUGCAAGUCGAGCGGCAGCGCGGCCUUCGGGCUGGCGGCGAGCGGCGAACGGGUGAGUAAUGCAUCGGAACAUGCCCAGUCGUGGGGGAUAACACUUCGAAAGAAGUGCUAAUACCGCAUACGUCCUGAGGGGGAAAGCGGGGGAUCGCAAGACCUCGCGCGAUUGGAGUGGCCGAUGUCAGAUUAGCUAGUUGGUGGGGUAAAGGCCUACCAAGGCGAUGAUCUGUAGCUGGUCUGAGAGGAUGAUCAGCCACACUGGGACUGAGACACGGCCCAGACUCCUACGGGAGGCAGCAGUGGGGAAUUUUGGACAAUGGGGGCAACCCUGAUCCAGCCAUUCCGCGUGAGUGAAGAAGGCCUUCGGGUUGUAAAGCUCUUUCGGCAGGAACGAAACGGUGGGCUCUAACAUAGUCCGCUAAUGACGGUACCUGAAGAAGAAGCACCGGCUAACUACGUG
RNAcentral lists this ribosomal RNA (484 nucleotides) under uncultured bacterium. RNAcentral describes it as "partial 16S ribosomal RNA". It matches the Rfam family "Bacterial small subunit ribosomal RNA", at positions 30 to 507 of the family's 1533-position model. The record is from RNAcentral.